RNAcentral lists this ribosomal RNA (305 nucleotides) under uncultured bacterium. Its description in RNAcentral is "bacterial SSU rRNA". It matches the Rfam family "Bacterial small subunit ribosomal RNA", at positions 337 to 640 of the family's 1533-position model. The record is from RNAcentral.
UCCUACGGGAGGCAGCAGUGAGGAAUAUUGGUCAAUGGUCGGGAGACUGAACCAGCCAAGCCGCGUGAGGGAUGAAGGUACAGAGUAUCGUAAACCUCUUUUGUCAGGGAACAAAGGCGGGGACGUGUCCCCGGAUGAGUGUACCUGAAGAAAAAGCAUCGGCUAACUCCGUGCCAGCAGCCGCGGUAAUACGGAGGAUGCGAGCGUUAUCCGGAUUUAUUGGGUUUAAAGGGUGCGCAGGCGGUCUGUUAAGUCAGCGGUCAAAGCCCGGGGCGCAACCCCGGCCCGCCGUUGAAACUGGCAGU